CCUACGGGAGGCAGCAGUGAGGAAUAUUGGUCAAUGGACGCAAGUCUGAACCAGCCAUGCCGCGUGAAGGAUGAAGGCCUUUGGGUUGUAAACUUCUUUUAUCUGGGAAGCGGUACCAGAGGAAUAAGCACCGGCUAACUCCGUGCCAGCAGCCGCGGUAAUACGGAGGGUGCAAGCGUUAUCCGGAUUUACUGGGUUUAAAGGGUGUGUAGGCGGGUCUUUAAGUCAGUGGUGAAAUCUCCGAGCUUAACUUGGAAACUGCCAUUGAUACUAUUGAUCUUGAAUUCUGUUGAGGUGGGCGGAAUAUGUCAUGUAGCGGUGAAAUGCUUAGAUAUGACAUAGAACACCAAUUGCGAAGGCAGCUCACUAGAGAUAUUGACGCUGAGGCACGAAAGCGUGGGGAUCAAACAGGAUUAGAUACCCUUGUAGUC
RNAcentral lists this ribosomal RNA (431 nucleotides) under uncultured bacterium. Its description in RNAcentral is "partial 16S ribosomal RNA". It matches the Rfam family "Bacterial small subunit ribosomal RNA", at positions 338 to 795 of the family's 1533-position model. The record is from RNAcentral.